AUUGAACGCUGGCGGCAGGCCUAACACAUGCAAGUCGAGCGGAUGAAGGGAGCUUGCUCCUGGAUUCAGCGGCGGACGGGUGAGUAAUGCCUAGGAAUCUGCCUGGUAGUGGGGGAUAACGUCCGGAAACGGGCGCUAAUACCGCAUACGUCCUGAGGGAGAAAGUGGGGGAUCUUCGGACCUCACGCUAUCAGAUGAGCCUAGGUCGGAUUAGCUAGUUGGUGGGGUAAGGGCCUACCAAGGCGACGAUCCGUAACUGGUCUGAGAGGAUGAUCAGUCACACUGGAACUGAGACACGGUCCAGACUCCUACGGGAGGCAGCAGUGGGGAAUAUUGGACAAUGGGCGAAAGCCUGAUCCAGCCAUGCCGCGUGUGUGAAGAAGGUCUUCUGAUUGUAAAGCACUUUAAGUUGGGAGGAAGGGCAGUAAGUUAAUACCUUGCUGUUUUGACGUUACCAACAGAAUAAGCACCGGCUAACUUCGUG
Molecule: ribosomal RNA, 484 nt
Filed under: uncultured bacterium
Lineage: Bacteria
Description: partial 16S ribosomal RNA
Rfam family: Bacterial small subunit ribosomal RNA
Source: RNAcentral